RNAcentral lists this small RNA (320 nucleotides) under Pongo abelii (Sumatran orangutan). Its description in RNAcentral is "retained intron". The record is from RNAcentral. Lineage: Eukaryota; Metazoa; Chordata; Mammalia; Primates; Hominidae.
GCGCCGCGGGAUGCCGAGCUGAUCGAGCCCUGGAGGCCCAGCCUGGGCGAGCUGCUGGCCAGGCCCGAGGCUCUGACGCCCAGCAACCUAUUCCUGCUUGCAGUCCUCGGGGCCCUCGCAUCAGCGAGUGCGACAGUGUUGGCGUGGUGAGUUCUGGAGACCCCGGAGCCCCAGCAUCUACCCCCUUCCUCCCUCAGACCCAGGUGUCCAGGACCCCAGAUGUUCUUUCGAUGGUACUGCAGUGGCAACUAACAAAGAUAUCUCUUUCCUCCUUCCCUAUCCUAUUUCCAUCCUGAAAAUAAAGAAUAUAUUUCGACUGU